CGGUGCUUGCAUCACCUGACACCGGGUGACCGGAUUAAUCGGAUGAGAUCCCUUGCCCAGGGACGGGUCCGGCUUCUCCGGGGCCGUCCCCGUCACGGAGGU
Molecule: non-coding RNA, 102 nt
Organism: Streptomyces sp. CcalMP-8W
Lineage: Bacteria; Bacillati; Actinomycetota; Actinomycetes; Kitasatosporales; Streptomycetaceae
Source: Rfam